This 477-nucleotide ribosomal RNA is filed under the name uncultured bacterium. RNAcentral's name for it is "bacterial SSU rRNA". It matches the Rfam family "Bacterial small subunit ribosomal RNA", at positions 28 to 507 of the family's 1533-position model. The record is from RNAcentral.
GACGAACGCUGGCGGCGUGCCUAACACAUGCAAGUCGAGCGGACGGUUACGAGGUUGUAGAGAUACAAAGGAGUGACUGUUAGCGGCGAACGGGUGAGUAACACGUGGACAAUCUGCCCUCCGGGUCGGGAUAACAGACCGAAAGGCCUGCUAAUACCGAAUGAGGCGGCGACCUCGCAUGGGGAUGCCGUCAAAGGGGAAACCCGCCGGGGGAGGAGUCCGCGUCCCAUUAGCUAGUUGGUGAUGUAACGGACCACCAAGGCGAUGAUGGGUAGCCGGCCUGAGAGGGUGAACGGCCACAUUGGGACUGAGACACGGCCCAGACUCCUACGGGGGCAGCAGUGAGGGAUUUUCGGCAAUGGGCGAAAGCCUGACCGAGCGACGCCGCGUGAGCGAAGAAGGCCUUCGGUCGUAAAGCUCUGUCUAGGGGGAAGAGGAAGGACGGUACCCCUGGAGGAAGCCACGGCUAACUACGUG